Non-coding RNA from Polypterus senegalus (gray bichir), 861 nucleotides. The record is from the annotation of a RefSeq genome assembly. Lineage: Eukaryota; Metazoa; Chordata; Cladistia; Polypteriformes; Polypteridae.
AUGCCAACCAGCUGUGGACCUCAUUUUACCACAGUCUCCUAUGAGCAAUGCCCUGACACCAAAAGUACUCCUGGGUCUUCUAUAAAAGCAGCUGCUCAGCCUCAGCCUGGUGUCACCCUAAGCUUUGCAGUUCAUAUUCUCCUCUCUCCUUCAUCUCUCUCUGUUCUGCUUGGACAAAAUGCUCAGUUCUUCUGUAUUGUGGAGGAAGGAGAAGGCUGUAGAAUUUUAAAGUUGCACUGGCAUCACAGGAACAUGCAUCCAGCUGGCACUGAGGCCAAAGAAAAUAAACUCCUUACUGAAGGUCGCUUUAAUAUUACCAAACGCUCAAACAUCAGUAGCAGUCUGUUCAUUACAAACAUGGGGUUUUGUGACAUCGGUCACAUCAUAUGUUCAGCCUAUUGUAUACAAAAAACAAUAGUGUCCAUUAACAAGAGCUCCCUACUGUCAGUGAAAGCGGUUCCCAAACUGAACAUUUUUUACCAGACAUCAGUUGAUGAUCCCAGUGUACUGACACUGACUUGCAUCGCUGAAGGUUUCUACCCCUCUGAUAUAACCCUGUCCUGGGUCCAUUCUGUCCAAGAGGUGCCCAACAGCAGGGAGCAAACACCUGCCACUCUCCUUCAGGAUGGGACCUACAACAUCAGCUCAACACUUCAGGUCAAAGAUUCUCUUUGGAGCCCCGAGGUGGAGAUUGGUUGUGAAGCAAAUCACAGUUCUCUGACACAGCCAUUGAUGAAGAAAAUUAGAAAAGAGAUCUUUCUCCUGAGGAAAUAUAUCCUAGUGUUCUCACAAGUGUCUCCUUUUGAGUUUCAUCAGAAAUCUCAGCAAAGUUAUACAUUGAGCUCAGAUGUUCCAAAUUAG